CGGGACGGGUGAGUAAUGUCUGGGAAACUGCCUGAUGGAGGGGGGAAGUAGCUGGAAACGGUAGCUAAUACCGCAUAACGUCGCAAGACCAAAGAGGGGGACCUUCGGGCCUCUUGCCAUCGGAUGUGCCCAGAUGGGAUUAGCUAGUAGGUGGGGUAACGGCUCACCUAGGCGACGAUCCCUAGCUGGUCUGAGAGGAUGCCAGCCACACUGGAACUGAGACACGGUCCAG
RNAcentral lists this ribosomal RNA (232 nucleotides) under uncultured bacterium. RNAcentral's name for it is "partial 16S ribosomal RNA". It matches the Rfam family "Bacterial small subunit ribosomal RNA", at positions 100 to 334 of the family's 1533-position model. The record is from RNAcentral.